This 543-nucleotide unclassified non-coding RNA is filed under the name Hevea brasiliensis (rubber tree). The record is from RNAcentral. Lineage: Eukaryota; Viridiplantae; Streptophyta; Magnoliopsida; Malpighiales; Euphorbiaceae.
GAUGCAAGAGAGGGGGAGAGAGGAGAAACAAAGGAGAUAGGGAUAGUGGUACUAUAGGAAUUAAAAAAAACAAAUCUCUUAUCUGACUUGUUUGAUUGAUGGAAUAUGCUUAAAAAAUAUUAGCAGAAGGACUAAAGUAUUCAAUGGAAUGAAAAGUUAGGUAGUAAAUCAGCAAUUUCUGAAAAACGAGGGACAUAAGUGUUAAUGAUGGCAAAAUUAGGGACUGAAAAAUAAAUUUCCCACAAAUAAAUAAUAAUCUAACUCGGCAAGAUCUGAAAAUCAAUAAAUCAAUGAGAACCCUCAGUCACUAAGAGGUUUAGAUGAGAAAAACAUUUUCAGUUCUAACAAACUAAACUAAGAAAACCAAAAUCCAUCUGAUAAUUAUAUUUGAUAAAAGAAACCCGUACAAUAUCUAUAUUCAAUUUACCAAUUCAACCAGAUACAAGAUUCAUAAACAACCAAUACUGUAUAAGAGAAUAACAGUUAAAAUAUUAUUGAAGACAGGAAACUGAAAAUUUUGUCUAGCACUUCAAGCAAUUAAAG